CCUACGGGGGGCAGCAGUGGGGAAUCUUCCGCAAUGGGCGCAAGCCUGACGGAGCACUGCCGCGUGAACGAAGAAGGCCCUCUGAUUGUUAAGUUCUGUUCUUAUCGAAGUGAGGGCAUAGAGUCAAAACUGAUAUACUAGGACGGUCGAUUAGGAGGAAGCUACGGCAAACUACGUGCCAGCAGCCGCGGUAAUACGUAGGGAGUGAGCGUUGUCCGGAAUUACGGGGUGAAACGGGAGCGUUGGCGGGGAUGCAAGUUGGGUGUCAAAACUACCGGCUCAACUGGUAGUCGCACUCAAGACUGCAGCGCUAGAGAGAAGUUGAGGCAGGCGGAAUGCAUAGUGUAGCGGUGAAAUGCGUAGAGAUUA
Molecule: ribosomal RNA, 369 nt
Filed under: uncultured bacterium
Lineage: Bacteria
Description: partial 16S ribosomal RNA
Rfam family: Bacterial small subunit ribosomal RNA
Source: RNAcentral